GGCCCCGUAGCUCAACUGGCAGAGCAAGCGACUCUUAAUCGCUAGGUUGAAAGUUCGAGUCUUUCCGGGGUCA
Molecule: transfer RNA, 73 nt
Filed under: Anaerolineae bacterium
Lineage: Bacteria; Bacillati; Chloroflexota; Anaerolineae
Also listed under: 1 other name
Description: tRNA-Lys
Rfam family: tRNA
About the family: Transfer RNA (tRNA) molecules are approximately 80 nucleotides in length.
Source: RNAcentral